AUUCGAUUCGGGGUUCACGAUGAGAACGAUGCGCUCGCGCAACAAUGGCGAAGAAGAUGAGGAUGAUACGAUGGCAACACGGAACGACACUGCCAAUGCGAGAAACAGAAGAGGUGGCAUACACGAACGUAGCCGAAGAACAUUGUCCAUCGUAUUUGUACAUUUAGAAGAAGAAGAAGAAGAAGAGUAGGGGAAACCACGAUUCACAUGA
RNAcentral lists this long non-coding RNA (211 nucleotides) under Polistes dominula (European paper wasp). RNAcentral's name for it is "uncharacterized LOC107069050, transcript variant X3". Lineage: Eukaryota; Metazoa; Arthropoda; Insecta; Hymenoptera; Vespidae. The record is from RNAcentral.